AUCUUACUGAGGACUUUUGUUUGUGUUCAUUAGGGAGAUUGGCCUGUAGUUCUUGUUUUUGGUUGGGUCUUUCUCUGCUUUUGGAAUCAAAGGCUUACUUCCAGGAAUGAUUUCAAUUUCACUAAAGAGUUUGAGAAGUAGUGGCUCUUCCCUAAAUUUCUUGUAGAAUUCAACAGUGAAGCAAUGAGGACCUUGGCUUUUCUUUGUUGUACUGGGGAUCGAACUCUGGCCCUUGCGCUUGCAAGGCAGGCGGCAAAACCACUGAGCUAAAUCUCCAGCCCUGAAUUGAUGUUCUUGACAGGCCAGAAUUAGAUAAAGAUAGGGUAUUCAGCUGGUGUAGCAGUUUCUGGG
RNAcentral lists this long non-coding RNA (351 nucleotides) under Heterocephalus glaber (naked mole-rat). RNAcentral describes it as "lncRNA (ENSHGLG00000043100.1)". The record is from RNAcentral. Lineage: Eukaryota; Metazoa; Chordata; Mammalia; Rodentia; Bathyergidae.